AGCCACCCCAACCCGGAGCGCUGACUAGCCUCCCUGCGAGGAUGCCAGAGAAGGCGGAUCGAGCCCCGCGGGGCCAGCAUGGACACCUCGGGAGCUGUAGGGGCGCGGCCCCGGGUCGGCUCUCCACCUGGGUGCUUCUCGCACCCUGCCCUGCGUGCGCGCAAACUUACAUCUCCACUUGGGCAGCGAAAGGCUCCAGGGACCAGGUCUUCCCGGGUGGACGUGGCGGUUCCAGCACUGGGUCCCACCAGGGACCUGGGGAUUUAGACUCGUCUGGCUCCGACUCCAGAGGAGGAGGGGAAACCCAACCAGCAAGCCGGGACUCCGAGAGAGUCCCCGUCGCAUUUGAAUGUCCAUCCGCUACUUCCCCACCCCGCCCACGCUGUCACCUCUCCUUCUGCCCUGCGGAUUCCGCACCCUACCCAGCUCGUUCACCGAAUUCCGACAUUGAACCCGAAUUUGAUCAGCGUGUUUGGGCCCAGGCCACAGCCAGCAGGAGCUCUGGUCCUCGCUAGAGCAGCUGCAAGUGGGCAUCACUGUCCCCGGGGAGGGGACCCCACCUCGGACCAACAGAGGUGAAGUCACGCUUUCUAAAGUUACUCCCAGGCGAGAACAAGUGGAGAAGGACACUUGGGAGGACCGGUUGCAACAUGCUGACUCAUCUUGGGUGCCUAGAAGACUGAAGCGAUUCGAAACAGUGAUUCUAUCAACGGCAUCGCGAAAAUAAUUUAAGAGAGAAACUCCCAGCAUGCAAGAUUCCAGAGAAGCAAUCUGAUUGAUGUUCUACCUCAUGGGCCCUCCUCUCCCUGUUACCUGGCUAUGGCAGCCCAGGGACUGGCCUGAAAGGAUCCCGUGUUUAUGCUAUUUUAGUAGUUGGUUUCCCCCAGGUUUUGACUAUGACCAGACAUUGAAGCUCUAGGUACUUCCUAAGGGUUUAACAUUUUAUUCGUUUUUCAGGAGAUGAUGAGAAAUGUACAUUUCUGUCCUGCUCAAGGUAAAGCCUUACAAAAGGUAUUUGUUCUCAACUUUCAUUUUAGUUUUGCUUAAUGUGAAG
Long non-coding RNA from Phyllostomus discolor (pale spear-nosed bat), 1054 nucleotides. RefSeq lists it as uncharacterized. The transcript is spliced from 2 exons. NCBI's taxonomy places the organism in Eukaryota, Metazoa, Chordata, Mammalia, Chiroptera, Phyllostomidae. The record is from RefSeq and is a predicted model, not a curated record.